UACGGGGGGGGCUAGCGUUGCUCGGAAUCACUGGGCGUAAAGCGCACGUAGGCGGACUCUUAAGUCAGGGGUGAAAUCCUGGAGCUCAACUCCAGAACUGCCUUUGAUACUGGGAGUCUUGAGUUCGGGAGAGGUGAGUGGAACUGCGAGUGUAGAGGUGAAAUUCGUAGAUAUUCGCAAGAACACCAGUGGCGAAGGCGGCUCACUGGCCCGAUACUGACGCUGAGGUGCGAAAGCGUGGGGAGCAAACAGG
This 253-nucleotide ribosomal RNA is filed under the name uncultured bacterium. RNAcentral's name for it is "partial 16S ribosomal RNA". It matches the Rfam family "Bacterial small subunit ribosomal RNA", at positions 524 to 776 of the family's 1533-position model. The record is from RNAcentral.